AGAGUUUGAUCAUGGCUCAGGAUGAACGCUAGCGACAGGCUUAACACAUGCAAGUCGAGGGCAGCAUAAAAGUAGCAAUACUUGGUGGCGACCGGCGCACGGGUGAGUAACGCGUAUGCAACCUACCUAUCAGAGGGGAAUAACCCGGCGAAAGUCGGACUAAUACCGCAUAAAACAGGGGCACCGCAUGGUGAUAUUUGUUAAAGAGAUUCGCUGAUAGAUGGGCAUGCGUUCCAUUAGGUAGUUGGUGAGGUAACGGCUCACCAAGCCGACGAUGGAUAGGGGAACUGAGAGGUUGGUCCCCCACACUGGUACUGAGACACGGACCAGACUCCUACGGGAGGCAGCAGUGAGGAAUAUUGGUCAAUGGGCGGGAGCCUGAACCAGCCAAGUCGCCGUGAAGGAAGAAGGAUCUAUGGUUCGUAAACUUCUUUUGCAGGGGAAUAAAGUGCAGGACGUGUCCUGUUUUGUAUGUACCCUGAGAAUAAGGAUCGGCUAACUCCGUGCCAGCAGCCGC
This 517-nucleotide ribosomal RNA is filed under the name uncultured bacterium. Its description in RNAcentral is "bacterial SSU rRNA". It matches the Rfam family "Bacterial small subunit ribosomal RNA", at positions 8 to 518 of the family's 1533-position model. The record is from RNAcentral.